Molecule: long non-coding RNA, 488 nt
Organism: Zea mays
Lineage: Eukaryota; Viridiplantae; Streptophyta; Magnoliopsida; Poales; Poaceae
Exons: 2
Source: RefSeq, a predicted model, not a curated record
UUUUGUCCUACCAUUAUUCUAUCCUUGCUAAACAAGAUGGCCAUGAAACAUGUUAUUAUCUGUUGUCUUCUCUUAGCCCUCAUGCUGCAGUCAGAUCAAACAUCUGCUGCUGACAUAUGCAGCUAUGCAGAUUUUAGGGCCAUGUUUUGCAAGAAUUGGAUGUGCAAGAGCCAGUGCUGGUUUCAAUCGCAGCUAAUAACGCCUCCGAAUGUAGUGAAGGAACACAGGUGUAUAAAAGGAGGAAUCUAUGGGUUGUGUCACUGUGUCUUCUGUAAAAAGUAGUUGUAUCAUCUUUGUUAAUUUUUAUUAGGAACAUAAUGUCUCUUGGCAGGGACCUCUCAGACAUUUAGAUAGUAGUUUAGCCUCAUCCUCUCUAUAGUAGUUGUCUGUUUCUGCUCUAGGAAUUCAACAUAUUUGCUUCAAUCUUCUGUUUUCUGAAAAGGAAAAUCUUUGCAUGAAUAAUACAAUGGUCUCCAACAUUGGUUCAA